UACGGGGGGGGCAAGCGUUGUUCGGAAUUACUGGGCGUAAAGGGCUCGUAGGUGGCCAACUAAGUCAGACGUGAAAUCCCUCGGCUUAACCGGGGAACUGCGUCUGAUACUGGAUGGCUUGAGUUCGGGAGAGGGAUGCGGAAUUCCAGGUGUAGCGGUGAAAUGCGUAGAUAUCUGGAGGAACACCGGUGGCGAAGGCGGCAUCCUGGGCCGGAACUGACGCUGAGGAGCGAAAGCGUGGGUAGCAAACAGG
RNAcentral lists this ribosomal RNA (253 nucleotides) under uncultured bacterium. RNAcentral describes it as "partial 16S ribosomal RNA". It matches the Rfam family "Bacterial small subunit ribosomal RNA", at positions 524 to 776 of the family's 1533-position model. The record is from RNAcentral.